GCCAAGGGACUAUAUGCACUCCAUCUGGAAUUAGCAGAUUCCUCUUUGUUCAAUUGUUCCUAAAUUUGGAACCAUCUGACUUGCUUAAAAGUAUUUUGAUUUUCUUUUAAAUAAAUAUGGGAAAUAAACAUAGCCCGGGACCUUCAGAGAGGUGCGUUAUUAGUCUUUUCCCUGGCUCCACGAGCCACACAAGUCUUAAAGAGGCAUUUGCCAAUUUUGAUGCUUGCUCUUUGUUUAUGCUAACAAUUUAUUUGGAGUGGCCCAUCGUUUUUGCUUCCCUUUUAUAAAUAGUAUCAAAGAAAUCAGGGACGGAAAAAGAACUAUUAGGUCAUCAAACCUGCUCUACUGCCAGUGUAGGCUUGUUCUUCACAGUGUAUUUUUUUCCAUUUAUUUGUCCAGGUUAAACUUGGAAUUAAGUGUAAGGUCUGUAGGUCUGGUGAGAGGUACAAGAACAAGUGGAGAUUUUACUCUUUUCUCCUCUCUUUACUACACAAGAUAGCUUAUUUCCACUCCCACCUUUCCUUCAGAAACAAGUGUAAUGUCAAAAGAUCAAGUAGACGCUUUCUCUUUGCAGGUGUUGUAGAUCACUGCUUCAUUCCUGUAAAAAUUUAAUUUUUGCUUGGGGAAAGCAAAAAAAAGGAAGAGAAAACAACACUUUGCUUAUCUUCCCUAUGCUCUAUAGCACCAAAGAAAACCAGAGACCAAACCACCUGCUUGUCCGGGAGAAGUGUUCACUUGCUUGUUGAUUCACUGCUGCUUAUGUUCCCUGGCUGCAAUCACAGCACAGUUUCCCCUUCAGAAGUUUAGAAUCGUGGAGAAGAUGAGAUGUGAGCUUUGGCUGCCCUGGGCAGAUUCUUCUGUGAGCCUGUGGAUUUAGUUUCUACAGAGCUCAGCCACCUGCACCAGUCAGUGAUGGGGACUUCUCAAAGAAAUGAUUCUAAAUUCUCCCAGUGCUGAGUUAGCAUACUCCAAGAGGAACCCACCAGUUACAGAGGGCUUCAUAUUACUGGUCCAGAAGCAAUUUCAGUGUCAAAACUGCUCCAGGAACAAGGGAGAAGACACUUCAAAUCAACUAUGGCUUUCCCAACAGCCUUUUCCUGGAAAGGAGAUUUUCUUCUACAAAAGAAAUUUUUACAGAAAGAUUCUGAUACGGUCAACUAACUAGAGCAUCUGGUGUAUGCAGCUGGUCUAAGGUGGUUUUGCUGGUUGAGGAUUUGUGUCGGAAUGACCUGCAGAACUGAGUCCUUAGUUUGCAAACAUAAGUGAUGACUUUGGGUCAGCAAUGACUGAGGAUUUCACCUGGCGGGCAGCAAACUUCAGUUCAUAAGAAGAAAUUUCAAAGGUGAGCUUCGUGACGCUUUGAACAAGGAGGAAAACACUGGAGCUUUCCAUCAAAGCUGUGAGCCAAGCCAGGUUCCCAUCUGUGUGCUCUGCUCUACUUGAGAGGUACAUGUGCCAUUACUAAGGAUGGAUGAUGGAGUAAUGCCAAGGUGUCAUAGCCAAAAGAUGCAUGACUUCUCCCUUCAGACCUG
This is a long non-coding RNA of Lagopus leucura (white-tailed ptarmigan), 1532 nucleotides long. RefSeq lists it as uncharacterized. The transcript has 8 exons. The record is from RefSeq and is a predicted model, not a curated record. Lineage: Eukaryota; Metazoa; Chordata; Aves; Galliformes; Phasianidae.